UAGAGUUUGAUCAUGGCUCAGGAUGAACGCUAGCGACAGGCCUAACACAUGCAAGUCGAGGGGCAUCGGGGCUAGGAGCAAUCCUUGCCGCCGGCGACCGGCGCACGGGUGAGUAACGCGUAUGCGACCUGCCCGUUGCAGGGGGAUAAUCGGGAGAAAUCCCGUCUAAUACCGCGUAAUGCCGCGGGGCUGCAUGGCCCUGCGGCCAAAGGGAGCGAUUCCGGCAACGGAUGGGCAUGCGUGACAUUAGCUAGUUGGCGGGGCAACGGCCCACCAAGGCGACGAUGUCUAGGGGUUCUGAGAGGAAGGUCCCCCACACUGGUACUGAGACACGGACCAGACUCCUACGGGAGGCAGCAGUGAGGAAUAUUGGUCAAUGGGCGCGAGCCUGAACCAGCCAAGUCGCGUGAGGGAUGACGGCCCUACGGGUUGUAAACCUCUUUUGUCGGGGAGCAAAUUCCGCCACGUGUGGCGGAGUCGAGAGUACCCGAAGAAAAAGCAUCGGCUAACUCCGUGCCAGCAGCCGCGGUAAUACGGAGGAUGCGAGCGUUAUCCGGAUUUAUUGGGUUUAAAGGGUGCGUAGGCGGACUGUCAAGUCAGCGGUAAAAUACGGGGGCUCAACCUCCGCCCGCCGUUGAAACUGACGGUCGUGAGUGGGCGAGAAGUAUGCGGAAUGCGUGGUGUAGCGGUGAAAUGCAUAGAUAUCACGCAGAACUCCGAUUGCGAAGGCAGCAUACCGGCGCCCAACUGACGCUGAAGCACGAAAGCGUGGGUAUCGAACAGGAUUAGAUACCCUGGUAGUCCACGCAGUAAACGAUGAAUGCUAACUGUCCGGUGCGAGUGAGCGCUGGGCGGUACAGCGAAAGCGUUAAGCAUUCCACCUGGGGAGUACGCCGGCAA
This 900-nucleotide ribosomal RNA is filed under the name uncultured bacterium. Its description in RNAcentral is "bacterial SSU rRNA". It matches the Rfam family "Bacterial small subunit ribosomal RNA", at positions 1 to 891 of the family's 1533-position model. The record is from RNAcentral.